GGGCCGUUAGCUCAAUCGGUAGAGCUGCGGGCUCUUAAUCGGUAAAUUCCGGGUUCGGGCCCCGGGCGGCCCA
RNAcentral lists this transfer RNA (73 nucleotides) under Tamaricihabitans halophyticus. It matches the Rfam family "tRNA". From Rfam's summary of the family: Transfer RNA (tRNA) molecules are approximately 80 nucleotides in length. Their secondary structure includes four short double-helical elements and three loops (D, anti-codon, and T loops). Lineage: Bacteria; Bacillati; Actinomycetota; Actinomycetes; Pseudonocardiales; Pseudonocardiaceae. The record is from Rfam by way of RNAcentral.